This 410-nucleotide ribosomal RNA is filed under the name bacterium enrichment culture clone ALO1_GLFRUDD03G5103. RNAcentral describes it as "bacterial SSU rRNA". It matches the Rfam family "Bacterial small subunit ribosomal RNA", at positions 9 to 420 of the family's 1533-position model. The record is from RNAcentral.
GAGUUUGAUGUGGCUCAGAUUGAACGCUGGCGGCAUGCCUUACACAUGCAAGUCGAACGGCAGCACGGGAGCUUGCUCCUGGUGGCGAGUGGCGAACGGGUGAGUAAUGCAUCGGAACGUAUCCUGGAGUGGGGGAUAACGUAGCGAAAGUUACGCCAAUACCGCAUAUUCUGUGAGCAGGAAAGCGGGGGACCUUCGGGCCUCGCGCUCUUGGAGCGGCCGAUGUCGGAUUAGCUAGUUGGUGAGGUAAAGGCUCACCAAGGCGACGAUCCGUAGCAGGUCUGAGAGGAUGAUCUGCCACACUGGAACUGAGACACGGUCCAGACUCCUACGGGAGGCAGCAGUGGGGAAUUUUGGACAAUGGGGGCAACCCUGAUCCAGCCAUGCCGCGUGAGUGAAGAAGGCCUCGG